This 85-nucleotide unclassified non-coding RNA is filed under the name Pseudomonas arsenicoxydans. Lineage: Bacteria; Pseudomonadati; Pseudomonadota; Gammaproteobacteria; Pseudomonadales; Pseudomonadaceae. The record is from RNAcentral.
GUCGAGUGAAACGAGGCUGCGAUCUUUUGAUCUUGUUUUUUUUUAAAGAUCAAGAUCAAAAGAUCGCAGCCUCGUUUCACUCGAC